RNAcentral lists this ribosomal RNA (242 nucleotides) under uncultured bacterium. Its description in RNAcentral is "partial 16S ribosomal RNA". It matches the Rfam family "Bacterial small subunit ribosomal RNA", at positions 100 to 334 of the family's 1533-position model. The record is from RNAcentral.
GCACGGGUGAGUAACGCGUGGAUAAUCUACCGGGAAGUAUGGAAUAACGGCUGGAAACGGUCGCUAAUACCGUAUACGCAGCAUUUUUACCUAUGCUGGAAAGGGGGCCUCUGCAUAUGCUUCCGCUUUUCGAUGAGUCCGCGUCCCAUUAGCUAGUUGGCGGGGUAAAGGCCCACCAAGGCGACGAUGGGUAGCUGGUCUGAGAGGAUGAUCAGCCACACUGGGACUGGAACACGGCCCAG